RNAcentral lists this ribosomal RNA (1094 nucleotides) under Bertia moriformis. RNAcentral's name for it is "eukaryotic LSU rRNA". It matches the Rfam family "Eukaryotic large subunit ribosomal RNA", at positions 40 to 1138 of the family's 3401-position model. The record is from RNAcentral. Lineage: Eukaryota; Fungi; Ascomycota; Sordariomycetes; Coronophorales; Bertiaceae.
AUAUCAAUAAGCGGAGGAAAAGAAACCAACAGGGAUUGCCCCAGUAACGGCGAGUGAAGCGGCAUCAGCCCAGAUUUGAAAUCCGGCCACCACACCAGGAGGCCCGAGUUGUAAUCUGCAGAGGGUGCCCCGGGCGUAGCCCGCCGCCGAGUUCCCUGGGACGGGACGCCGCAGAGGGUGAGAGCCCCGUGCGGCGGCGCGGCGAGCCCAUAAGGGGCCCCUUCGGAGAGUCGCGUAGCUUGGGAAUGCUGCGCAAAGCGGGAGGUAUACCCCUUCUAAGGCUAAAUACUGGCCGGAGACCGAUAGCGCACAAGUAGAGUGAUCGAAAGAUGAAAAGCACCUUGGAAAGGGGGUCAAACAGUACGUGAAAUUGCUGAGGGGGAAGCGCCUGCCCCCAGACUCGGGCCCUACGGCCUUCACCCGGCCCCUCGAGGGCCGGGGUAUUCCGUGGGCCCGGGCCAGCGCCGGCCGGCAUCCCGGGGUGCAAAGGCGCCGGGAACGUAGCCGCCCUUCGGGGUGGUGUUAUAGCCCGGCGUGUCAUGCCCUGGGGCCGGCCGAGGCCCACGCCGAAAGGCAAGGGCGCUGGCGUAAUGGAGGCCGGCGGCCCGUCUUGAAACACGGACCAAGGAGUCGUCCUCGCGCGCGAGUGCUCGGGUGUCAAGCCCAGGCGCGUAGUGAAAGCGAACGCCGGUGGGAGCCCCGUCAGGGGCGCACCACCGACCGAUCCGGAAGUUCUCUGAAGGAUUUGAGUAGGAGCGCGCGGGGCCGGACCCGAAAGAGGGUGAACUAUGCGUGGGUAGGGCGAAGCCAGGGGAAACCCUGGUGGAGGCUCGCAGCGGUUCUGACGUGCAAAUCGAUCGUCAAACCUGCGCAUGGGGGCGAAAGACUAAUCGAACCUUCUAGUAGCUGGUUUCCGCCGAAGUUUCCCUCAGGAUAGCAGUGUCGAGCUCAGUUUUAUGAGGUAAAGCGAAUGAUUAGGGACUCGGGGGCGACAUACUGCCUUCAUCCAUUCUCAAACUUUAAAUAUGUAAGAAGCCCUUGUUGCUCCGGUGAACGUGGGCGCUCGAAUGUACCGACACUAGUGGGCCAUUUUU